GACAGAGGGGGCAAGCGUUGCUCGGAAUCACUGGGCGUAAAGGGCGCGUAGGCGGGAUGGCAAGUCGGUCGUGAAAUCCUUCGGCUCAACCGAAGAACGUCGGCCGAUACUGCCGUUCUUGAGGGAUGCAGAGGAGAUUGGAAUUCCCGGUGUAGCGGUGAAAUGUGUAGAGAUCGGGAGGAACACCGGUGGCGAAGGCGGAUCUCUGGACCAGUUCUGACACUGAUGAGCGAAAGCCAGGGGAGCAAACAGG
Molecule: ribosomal RNA, 253 nt
Filed under: uncultured bacterium
Lineage: Bacteria
Description: partial 16S ribosomal RNA
Rfam family: Bacterial small subunit ribosomal RNA
Source: RNAcentral